RNAcentral lists this ribosomal RNA (433 nucleotides) under uncultured bacterium. RNAcentral's name for it is "partial 16S ribosomal RNA". It matches the Rfam family "Bacterial small subunit ribosomal RNA", at positions 29 to 507 of the family's 1533-position model. The record is from RNAcentral.
AACGAACGCUGGCGGCAUGCCUAACACAUGCAAGUCGAACGAGACCUUCGGGUCUAGUGGCGCACGGGUGCGUAACGCGUGGUAACCUGCCCUUAGGUUCGGAAUAACUCCCCGAAAGGGGUGCUAAUACCGGAUAAUGUCUUCGGACCUAAGAUUUAUCGCCUUUGGAUGGGCCCGCGUUGGAUUAGCUAGUUGGUAGGGUAAAAGCCUACCAAGGCGACGAUCCAUAGCUGGUCUGAGAGGAUGAUCAGCCACACUGGGACUGAGACACGGCCCAGACUCCUACGGGAGGCAGCAGUGGGGAAUAUUGGACACUGGGCGAAGGCCUGAUCCAGCAAUGCCGCGUGAGUGAUGAAGGCCUUAGGGUUGUAAAGCUCUUUUACCCGGGAUGAUAAUGACAGUACCGGGAGAAUAAGCUCCGGCUAACUCCGUG